CCUACGGGGGGCUGCAGUGGGGAAUAUUGGACAAUGGAGGGAACCCUGAUCCAGCCAUGCCGCGUGUGUGAAGAAGGCCCUCGGGUUGUAAAGCACUUUCAGUGAGGAAGAACGCCUGGUGGUUAAUACCCAUCAGGAAAGACAUCACUCACAGAAGAAGCACCGGCUAACUCCGUGCCAGCAGCCGCGGUAAUACGGAGGGUGCGAGCGUUAAUCGGAAUUACUGGGCGUAAAGCGCGCGUAGGUGGCUUGAUAAGCCGGUUGUGAAAGCCCCGGGCUCAACCUGGGAACGGCAUCCGGAACUGUCAAGCUAGAGUGCAGGAGAGGAAGGUAGAAUUCCCGGUGUAGCGGUGAAAUGCGUAGAGAUCGGGAGGAAUACCAGUGGCGAAGGCGGCCUUCUGGACUGACACUGACACUGAGGUGCGAAAGCGUGGGUAGCAAACAGGAUUAGAUACCCCGGUAGUC
This 465-nucleotide ribosomal RNA is filed under the name Vreelandella stevensii. Its description in RNAcentral is "partial 16S ribosomal RNA". It matches the Rfam family "Bacterial small subunit ribosomal RNA", at positions 338 to 795 of the family's 1533-position model. Lineage: Bacteria; Pseudomonadati; Pseudomonadota; Gammaproteobacteria; Oceanospirillales; Halomonadaceae. The record is from RNAcentral.